Molecule: transfer RNA, 82 nt
Filed under: Ruminococcus sp. AM36-2AA
Lineage: Bacteria; Bacillati; Bacillota; Clostridia; Eubacteriales; Oscillospiraceae
Also listed under: 2 other names
Description: tRNA-Leu
Rfam family: tRNA
About the family: Transfer RNA (tRNA) molecules are approximately 80 nucleotides in length. Their secondary structure includes four short double-helical elements and three loops (D, anti-codon, and T loops).
Source: RNAcentral
GCGGAUAUGGCGAAAUAGGCAGACGCAGGAGACUCAAACUCUCCGGAGGAAACUCAUAUGGGUUCAAGUCCCAUUAUCCGUA